GAUGAACGCUGGCGGCGUGCCUAAUACAUGCAAGUCGAGCGAACGGACGAGAAGCUUGCUUCUCUGAUGUUAGCGGCGGACGGGUGAGUAACACGUGGAUAACCUACCCAUAAGACUGGGAUAACUUCGGGAAACCGGAGCUAAUACCGGAUGAUAUUUUGAACCGCAUGGUUCAAAAGUGAAAGACGGUCUUGCUGUCACUUAUAGAUGGAUCCGCGCUGCAUUAGCUAGUUGGUAAGGUAACGGCUUACCAAGGCAACGAUGCAUAGCCGACCUGAGAGGGUGAUCGGCCACACUGGAACUGAGACACGGUCCAGACUCCUACGGGAGGCAGCAGUAGGGAUUCUUCCGCAAUGGGCGAAAGCCUGACGGAGCAACGCCGCGUGAGUGAUGAAGGUCUUCGGAUCGUAAAACUCUGUUAUUAGGGAAGAACAUAUGUGUAAGUAACUGUGCACAUCUUGACGGUACCUAAUCAGAAAGCCACGGCUAACUACGUG
Molecule: ribosomal RNA, 497 nt
Filed under: uncultured bacterium
Lineage: Bacteria
Description: partial 16S ribosomal RNA
Rfam family: Bacterial small subunit ribosomal RNA
Source: RNAcentral